Molecule: ribosomal RNA, 259 nt
Filed under: uncultured bacterium
Lineage: Bacteria
Description: partial 16S ribosomal RNA
Rfam family: Bacterial small subunit ribosomal RNA
Source: RNAcentral
UACAGAGGUCUCAAGCGUUGUUCGGAUUCAUUGGGCGUAAAGGGUGCGUAGGUGGCGCUGUAAGUCAGGUGUGAAAUUUCGGAGCUUAACUCCGAAACUGCAUUUGAUACUGCGGUGCUUGAGGACUGGAGAGGAGACUGGAAUUACGGUGUAGCAGUGAAAUGCGUAGAGAUCGGGAGGAACAUCAGUUGCGAAGGCGGCUCUCUGGACCAGCACUGACACUGAGGCACGAAAGCGUGGGGAGCAAACAGGAAUUAGA